This 111-nucleotide ribosomal RNA is filed under the name Caerostris extrusa. The record is from RNAcentral. Lineage: Eukaryota; Metazoa; Arthropoda; Arachnida; Araneae; Araneidae.
AACGGUCAUACCAUGCUGAAUAUACCGGUUCUCGUUAGAUCACCGAAGUCAAGCAUCAUUGGGCGCGGUCAGUACUUGGGUGGGUGACCACCUGGGAACACCGCGUGCCGU